This 703-nucleotide ribosomal RNA is filed under the name uncultured bacterium. RNAcentral's name for it is "bacterial SSU rRNA". It matches the Rfam family "Bacterial small subunit ribosomal RNA", at positions 63 to 765 of the family's 1533-position model. The record is from RNAcentral.
CGAACGGAACUACUCCGAUGAGAAUCUUCGGAAAGGAUUUGGUUUAGUUUAGUGGCGGACGGGUGAGUAACGCGUGGGUAACCUGCCCUAUACAGGGGGAUAACAGUUGGAAACGACUGUUAAUACCGCAUAAGCGCACAGGAGCGCAUGCUCCGGUGUGAAAAACUCCGGUGGUAUAGGAUGGACCCGCGUCUGAUUAGCUGGUUGGCGGGGUAACGGCCCACCAAGGCGACGAUUAGUAGCCGGCCUGAGAGGGUGAACGGCCACAUUGGGACUGAGACACGGCCCAAACUCCUACGGGAGGCAGCAGUGGGGAAUAUUGCACAAUGGGGGGAACCCUGAUGCAGCGACGCCGCGUGAGCGAAGAAGUAUUUCGGUAUGUAAAGCUCUAUCAGCAGGGAAGAAAAUGACGGUACCUGACUAAGAAGCCCCGGCUAACUACGUGCCAGCAGCCGCGGUAAUACGUAGGGGGCAAGCGUUAUCCGGAUUUACUGGGUGUAAAGGGAGCGCAGGCGGCGCGGUAAGUCUGAUGUGAAAGCCCGGGGCUCAACCCCGGGACUGCAUUGGAAACUGUCGUGCUGGAGUGUCGGAGGGGCAAGUGGAAUUCCUAGUGUAGCGGUGAAAUGCGUAGAUAUUAGGAGGAACACCAGUGGCGAAGGCGGCUUGCUGGACGACAACUGACGCUGAGGCUCGAAAGCGUGGG